RNAcentral lists this ribosomal RNA (595 nucleotides) under uncultured Bacteroidota bacterium. RNAcentral describes it as "bacterial SSU rRNA". It matches the Rfam family "Bacterial small subunit ribosomal RNA", at positions 122 to 715 of the family's 1533-position model. The record is from RNAcentral. Lineage: Bacteria; Pseudomonadati; Bacteroidota.
CAACCUGCCCAUCACUUGGGGAUAACCUUGCGAAAGUAAGACUAAUACCCAAUAACGUCUCUAGAAGACAUCUGAAGGAGAUUAAAGAUUUAUCGGUGAUGGAUGGGGAUGCGUCUGAUUAGCUUGUUGGUGGGGUAACGGCCCACCAAGGCGACGAUCAGUAGGGGUUCUGAGAGGAAGGUCCCCCACAUUGGAACUGAGACACGGUCCAAACUCCUACGGGAGGCAGCAGUGAGGAAUAUUGGUCAAUGGACGAGAGUCUGAACCAGCCAAGUAGCGUGCAGGAUGACGGCCCUAUGGGUUGUAAACUGCUUUUAUAAGGGAAUAAAGUGAGCCUCGUGAGGCUUUUUGCAUGUACCUUAUGAAUAAGGACCGGCUAAUUCCGUGCCAGCAGCCGCGGUAAUACGGAAGGUCCGGGCGUUAUCCGGAUUUAUUGGGUUUAAAGGGAGCGUAGGCCGGAGAUUAAGCGUGUUGUGAAAUGUAGACGCUCAACGUCUGCACUGCAGCGCGAACUGGUUUCCUUGAGUACGCACAAAGUGGGCGGAAUUCGUGGUGUAGCGGUGAAAUGCUUAGAUAUCACGAAGAACUCCGAUUG